GAUUAACGCUGGCGGCGUGCAUAACACAUGCAAGUCGAACGAUGAAACUUAACUGAUUUCUUCGGAAUGAUUUUAAGUGGAUUAGUGGCGGACGGGUGAGUAACGCGUGAGUAACCUGCCUUGGAGAAGGGGAUAGCCUUUGGAAACGAAGAAUAAUACCCUAUGAUAUGAUAAUAUCUCAUGAUAUUAUCAUCAAAGAUUUAUCGCUCUAAGAUGGACUUGCGUCUGAUUAGUUAGUUGGUGAGGUAACAGCUCACCAAGGCAGCGAUCAGUAGCCGGCUUGAGAGAGUGUACGGCCACAUUGGGACUGAGACACGGCCCAGACUCCUACGGGAGGCAGCAGUGGGGAAUUUUGCACAAUGGGGGAAACCCUGAUGCAGCGACGCCGCGUGAUUUAGAAGGCCUUCGGGUUGUAAAAAUCCUUUGUAUGGGAAGAAAAUGACAGUACCAUACGAAUAAGGACCGGCUAAUUACGUG
This 477-nucleotide ribosomal RNA is filed under the name uncultured bacterium. RNAcentral's name for it is "partial 16S ribosomal RNA". It matches the Rfam family "Bacterial small subunit ribosomal RNA", at positions 28 to 507 of the family's 1533-position model. The record is from RNAcentral.